GUGGUGGUAGCUCAGUAGGUUAGAGCACCUGGUUGUGGUUCAGGAGGUCGUCGGUUCGAUCCCGAUUCAUCACC
This is a non-coding RNA of Triplophysa rosa, 74 nucleotides long. Lineage: Eukaryota; Metazoa; Chordata; Actinopteri; Cypriniformes; Nemacheilidae. The record is from the annotation of a RefSeq genome assembly.